RNAcentral lists this ribosomal RNA (293 nucleotides) under uncultured bacterium. RNAcentral's name for it is "partial 16S ribosomal RNA". It matches the Rfam family "Archaeal small subunit ribosomal RNA", at positions 455 to 747 of the family's 1478-position model. The record is from RNAcentral.
GUGCCAGCCGCCGCGGUAAUACCGGCAGCCCGAGUGAUGGCCGCUCUUAUUGGGCCUAAAGCGUCCGUAGCUGGCUGCGCAAGUCCGUCGGGAAAUCCACUCGCCCAACGAGUGGGCGUCCGACGGAAACUGCACAGCUUGGGACCGGAAGGCUCGAAGGGUACGUUCGGGGUAGGAGUGAAAUCCCAUAAUCCCGCACGGACCGCCGGUGGCGAAAGCACCUCGAGAAAACGGACCCGACAGUGAGGGACGAAAGCUAGGGUCUCGAACCGGAUUAGAAACCCUAGUAGUCC